GAUGAACGCUGGCGGCGUGCUUAACACAUGCAAGUCGAACGAUGAAGCCCAGCUUGCUGGGUGGAUUAGUGGCGAACGGGUGAGUAACACGUGAGUAACCUGCCCUUAACUCUGGGAUAAGCCUGGGAAACUGGGUCUAAUACCGGAUAGGAGCGUCCACCGCAUGGUGGGUGUUGGAAAGAUUUAUCGGUUUUGGAUGGACUCGCGGCCUAUCAGCUUGUUGGUGAGGUAAUGGCUCACCAAGGCGACGACGGGUAGCCGGCCUGAGAGGGUGACCGGCCACACUGGGAAUGAGACACGGACCAGACUCCUACGGGAGGCAGCAGUGGGGAAUAUUGCACAAUGGGCGCAAGCCUGAUGCAGCGACGCCGCGUGAGGGAUGACGGCCUUCGGGUUGUAAACCUCUUUCAGUAGGGAAGAAGCGAAAGUGACGGUACCUGCAGAAGAAGCACCGGCUAACUACGUG
Molecule: ribosomal RNA, 466 nt
Filed under: uncultured bacterium
Lineage: Bacteria
Description: partial 16S ribosomal RNA
Rfam family: Bacterial small subunit ribosomal RNA
Source: RNAcentral